This 65-nucleotide transfer RNA is filed under the name Inocellia cheni. RNAcentral's name for it is "tRNA-Tyr". Lineage: Eukaryota; Metazoa; Arthropoda; Insecta; Raphidioptera; Inocelliidae. RNAcentral also lists the same sequence under 1 other name. The record is from RNAcentral.
GGUGAAAUGACUGAUAAUAGGUGAUAAACUGUAAAUUUAUUUAUGAGAAAUUUUCUCUUUUACCA